Molecule: ribosomal RNA, 332 nt
Filed under: uncultured microorganism
Description: bacterial SSU rRNA
Rfam family: Archaeal small subunit ribosomal RNA
Source: RNAcentral
GUGCAGCAGGCGCGAAUACUCCGCAAUGCUCGAAAGAGUGGACGGGGGAUUCCAAGUGCCUACGCUUAGCGUAGGCUGUUCAGAUGCCUAAAAAGCAUCUGGAGUAAGGGCUGGGUAAGACGGGUGCCAUCUGCAGUGGUAAUGAAAAAACUUGCUGCUGCAAGGCAUAAGCCGCCGCGGUAAUACCCGCAGCCCGAGUGGUAGUCGAUUUUAUUGGGCCUAAAAGCGUCCGUAUCCGGUCUGAUAAAAUGCUUGGGGUAAAAUCGUCUGGCUUAAACCAGACGAAUUCCGGGUAGACUGUCAGACUUGGGACCGGUUGAGGAAGAGGGUAC